Carassius gibelio (silver crucian carp) is the source of this 1059-nucleotide long non-coding RNA. RefSeq lists it as uncharacterized. NCBI's taxonomy places the organism in Eukaryota, Metazoa, Chordata, Actinopteri, Cypriniformes, Cyprinidae. The record is from RefSeq and is a predicted model, not a curated record. The transcript is spliced from 3 exons.
CUAGUUCUACAUGGCUGACACCUGUCUGGUGGUCUGCUGUUUGCCAGGGCAGGGCCUGCCCUCAGACAGGGGCUUGACAAGCAGAGCGCAGUGUUAUCCAACGCGAGCUCUGCUUUGCUGCAGGCUGCUCCGUCCCAAACCUCAGCCCUAUCUUGAACGAACAUCACACAGCCGAGAUGAAAAAGAGGGAAAUCGAUGCAGGGGAGAGCGCGCCGUGUAGAGAGCCUGGCUUUGCUUUGAUCGAAGGUUGACUGACAAGACCUUCAGCCCUGUGAUCUCCGGCAUGAUGAAGGACCAGAGCCAUGACGAGUACAGAGGGGGUGUGAGACAGAGGGCUCUGUCUGCAUCUAAAGCCUGCUGGGAAAGGCCGCACUCUCAUCUCCCACACAGCAGAAUGCAUAUGCACCAAAAUCCUCUUCACUUUAAAACAACCUUCCCCUUCAGCCUCCUCCGGUACUCCCGACGGGGGAGGGAGUGAAGUUUACGGUCGUCUGAUGAAGCGUGUCCUCUGGUCUACCUUUGCUGUGGAUGGUGACCUCCACUGAGGCUCGAGAGAUGCCUCGGCCUAGAGCAUUGUGGGUACGCUAAGACUGAAUGACAAACACAUCAUGGAAGCACAGACGAGGAGCUUUACUGAACCUUGUGAUCCAUGUCACUGCCUCGAUGGGAUGCACACACAGAUAUAAAUCCACUGACAUUACCACAGACGGAUGUUUGCAUACAAGAGUUUUCAGCUGAAAAGCUGCAUUAGCACUGAAAGAUUGCUCAUGAUGCAUCGUGGUUCAGGGGAUUCAUUCUAUGCUUUUUAUUUUAUUUAAGCUUAAAGGAAGAAAUGAAAGUUUGCAGAUGGCAGAUUUUUCUCCAGCAUGCUAAAUGAUAGAAAAAUUGCUAAAGUAAGCAUAUUAAAGCAGAAUUGUAUAAUUUCUGUGCCAUUACUGGCAACAAACAGAUUGGGGGUCAGUAACAUCUUAAAUCUCUUAUACUCAUCAUGGCUGCAUUUAUUUGAUCAGACACAACACUGUAAAAUUAGUAAUAAAUAAUUAAUAUUUCAAUUUAAAA